GUCGAGAAUAUUCCACAAUGGCCGAAAGGCUGAUGGAGCGACGCCGCGUGCAGGAAGAAGCCCUUCGGGGUGUAAACUGCUUUUUUUAGGGACGAACAAAUGACGGUACCUAAAGAAUAAGAGGUUGCUAACUCUGUGCCAGCAGCAGCGGUAAUACAGAGACCUCAAGCGUUAUCCGGAUUUACUGGGCGUAAAGCGUCCGCAGGUGGUAUGAUAAGUUUUUGGUUAAAUGCCACGGCUCAACCGGGGAAGUGCCAAAAAUACUGUCAAACUUGAGAUCGGGAGAGGUAAGCGGAACUGCCGGUGUAGCGGUAGAAUGCGUUAAUAUCGGCAGGAACACCAAAGGCGAAGGCAGCUUACUAGAACGAUUCUGACACUCAUGGACGAAAGCGUGGGGAGCAAAAGGGAUUAGAUACCCCAGUAGUCC
This 427-nucleotide ribosomal RNA is filed under the name uncultured bacterium. Its description in RNAcentral is "bacterial SSU rRNA". It matches the Rfam family "Bacterial small subunit ribosomal RNA", at positions 354 to 796 of the family's 1533-position model. The record is from RNAcentral.